GUACAGAUAGUAUGACAGAACAGUGAAACAUUAACUUUUUAGGUUAGCAACCCACUGCCACAGUCCAAAAAACAGUCAACAUUACAACCAGCACACAAUGCUGAGAUUCACUACUAUGGUAUGGACGAAACUGGUGGCAUGAUCUUAAAUUCAUCAGCUCACCAAAAGGCUGACUAACUAACACCAACGAAUUGUGAAACUUGGUGCGCAUCACCGAUUUCUGCCAAAACUGGAACUGGAGAGGAAAAAGGUCUAUUGCCAAAUCCAACCAACAGAAUAUGGUCAGCACUAAGAGCUGGUCUUAACGAGAAUGCCAGAGCUGUAUGAUUCCUGCACAUGAUGGGGCCUCUUGCCUCUCAGUUGGAUCCCCAGGAGAAUGGACACAGCCAAGAAAGAGAGAGCGCCUGCUUGAAAAUAUAGAAUAGAAUAUGUUGCUCCACUAUGCCUCGGUCGGUGUGUGUGUGUGUGUGUGUUCCAAACCAAAGGGGAAAAACACAUAAUGCUACUAGUACUAAUACCAAACUGAUACUAAACUAACAGUACUAGUAACAGUACUUGACUGACAGAAAUACAUAUAUAAAACAGACAACCAUAGCACUUUGAAGCAUUCAUUGAAAAGAGGACAUGAAUGAACAUUUUGCUUGUUAAUGAGUAAUGAAUGAGUGGUAUACAGUAUGUGUUUUCCUCUUGUAUCUUAAUGUGCAUGCUCAGCCAAGGCUGCCAAGCCAAUUUCUUGUUUGAGAACAUUAUGCAAAUGAUUACCAUACAACGUCUUACUUGGGAAUGAUUUGUUAAGAUGAAAAUGAAUUCAGUGCCAGAUACCUGAUGCUGAGCCUGAUGCUGAUUUAAAUUGUGCUGUAACUGGCUCAAGUAACGCAUGUCGUACUUUAAAACUAAAGACAUGUCCUUGUGGACCUCUGCAGCAGGGAGCAACAAUGGCGGCAGGACCAGUUAAACAUU
Long non-coding RNA from Sardina pilchardus (European sardine), 960 nucleotides. RefSeq lists it as uncharacterized. The transcript is spliced from 3 exons. The record is from RefSeq and is a predicted model, not a curated record. NCBI's taxonomy places the organism in Eukaryota, Metazoa, Chordata, Actinopteri, Clupeiformes, Clupeidae.